This 1202-nucleotide small RNA is filed under the name Pongo abelii (Sumatran orangutan). RNAcentral's name for it is "retained intron". The record is from RNAcentral. Lineage: Eukaryota; Metazoa; Chordata; Mammalia; Primates; Hominidae.
UUGUGGGUGAGGGAGGGCAGAAAGGGAGAGUGCUGGGCGGGCUUGGUCGGAGAUUGAGGACUGGGAAUCCGCUUCCGGGAGGGCACUGUCUAGUGCACAGGCAACCUGGCCUUGGCCUCCUAGCCCGAGAAGCCGAAUCUCCCUAAUCCCUGUGACCUGUGUCACCUCUCCGUCACGACGAGGGGGACAAGUGGGGAGAAGUCUGGUGUCAGAUAGGAUGGCGCUGGAAGAGGGUGCCACAGCGGGGCCGGAAGGCGCCCCCACCCCAACUCCACGGGAAUAUAAACAAUUUGUAUUUUCCGAUCAGGUGGCGGGACAGGCUUCAUUGGGACAGCCCUAACCCAGCUGCUGAAUGCCAGAGGCCACGAAGUGACGUUGAUCUCCCGACACCCUGGGCCCGGCCGGAUCACGUGGGUAAGUCCAUCCUCUGGAAGCGGGUGGGAGGGCAGAGUUGGGCGGCGCAGAGCGGGGCAGCGGCACUGUGUGCUUUCUCCGACAGGAUGAGCUCGCUGCAUCGGGGCUGCCGAGCUGCGAUGCCGCCGUCAACCUGGCCGGAGAGAACAUCCUCAACCCUCUCCGAAGAUGGAAUGAAACCUUCCAAAAAGAGGUUCUCGGCAGCCGCCUAGAGACCACCCAAUUGCUGGCUAAAGCCAUCACCAAAGCCCCACAACCCCCCAGGCCUGGGUCUUAGUCACAGGUGUAGCUUACUACCAGCCCAGUCUGACUGCGGAGUAUGAUGAAGACAGCCCAGGAGGAGACUUUGACUUUUUCUCCAACCUCGUAACCAAAUGGGAAGCUGCAGCCAGGCUUCCUGGAGAUCCUACACGCCAGGUGGUGGUGCGCUCAGGGGUUGUGCUGGGCCGUGGGGGUGGUGCCAUGGGCCACAUGCUGCUGCCCUUUCGCCUGGGCCUGGGGGGCCCCAUCGGCUCAGGCCACCAAUUCUUCCCCUGGAUACACAUUGGGGACCUGGCAGGAAUCCUGACCCAUGCCCUUGAAGCAAACCACGUGCACGGGGUCCUGAAUGGAGUGGCUCCAUCCUCCGCCACUAAUGCUGAGUUUGCCCAGACCUUGGGUGCUGCCCUGGGCCGCCGAGCCUUCAUCCCUCUCCCCAGCACUGUGGUGCAAGCUGUCUUUGGGCGAGAGCGUGCCAUCAUGCUGCUGGAGGGCCAGAAGGUGAUCCCACGGCGAACACUGGCCACUGG